Molecule: ribosomal RNA, 200 nt
Filed under: uncultured bacterium
Lineage: Bacteria
Description: partial 16S ribosomal RNA
Rfam family: Bacterial small subunit ribosomal RNA
Source: RNAcentral
ACGCUCGACACCUACUGGAGGCAGCAGUGGGGAAUAUUGCACAAUGGGGGAAACCCUGAUGCAGCGACGCCGCGUGAGCGAAGAAGUAUUUCGGUAUGUAAAGCUCUAUCAGCAGGGAAGAAAAUGACGGUACCUGACUAAGAAGCCCCGGCUAACUACGUACCAGCAGCCGCGGUAAUCUGAGGCGGCGUGGCGAAGGC